AUUGAACGCUGGCGGCAUGCUUUACACAUGCCAGUCGAACGGUAACAGGCCUUCGGGUGCUGACGAGUGGCGAACGGGUGAGUAAUGCAUCGGAACGUACCCAGAGGUGGGGGAUAACGCAGCGAAAGCUGUGCUAAUACCGCAUGUGAUCUGAGGAUGAAAGCGGGGGACCGAGCAGCAAUGUUUGGCCUCGCGCCUUUGGAGCGGCCGAUGUCGGAUUAGCUAGUUGGUGGGGUAAAGGCCUACCAAGGCGACGAUCCGUAGCUGGUCUGAGAGGACGACCAGCCACACUGGGACUGAGACACGGCCCAGACUCCUACGGGAGGCAGCAGCGGGGAAUUUUGGACAAUGGGCGCAAGCCUGAUCCAGCAAUGCCGCGUGCGGGAAGAAGGCCUUCGGGUUGUAAACCGCUUUUGGCAGGAACGAAACGGUGUCCGCUAAUACCGGGCGCUAAUGACGGUACCUGCAGAAUAAGCACCGGCUAACUACGUG
RNAcentral lists this ribosomal RNA (492 nucleotides) under uncultured bacterium. Its description in RNAcentral is "partial 16S ribosomal RNA". It matches the Rfam family "Bacterial small subunit ribosomal RNA", at positions 29 to 507 of the family's 1533-position model. The record is from RNAcentral.